RNAcentral lists this ribosomal RNA (416 nucleotides) under Bacillota bacterium. Its description in RNAcentral is "Firmicutes bacterium partial 16S ribosomal RNA". It matches the Rfam family "Bacterial small subunit ribosomal RNA", at positions 355 to 776 of the family's 1533-position model. Lineage: Bacteria; Bacillati; Bacillota. The record is from RNAcentral.
UGGGGAAUCUUGCACAAUGGGCGAAAGCCUGAUGCAGCGACGCCGCGUGGGGGAUGAAGCAUCUCGGUGUGUAAACCCCUUUCGAUUCGGACGAAUGCCCGCAAGGGAGUGACGGUACGGAUAUAAGAAGCCCCGGCUAACUACGUGCCAGCAGCCGCGGUAAGACGUAGGGGGCCAGCGUUGUUCGGAAUUACUGGGUGUAAAGGGUUCGUAGGCGGUGCGGCAAGUUGGGAGUGAAAUCUCUGGGCUUAACCCAGAGGCUGCUUCCAAAACUGCUGUGCUCGAGUGUGGGAGAGGCGCGGGGAAUUGCAGGUGUAGCGGUGAAAUGCGUAGAUAUCUGCAGGAACACCCGUGGCGAAAGCGGCGCGCUGGACCACUACUGACGCUGAGGAACGAAAGCUAGGGGAGCAAACAGG